This 77-nucleotide transfer RNA is filed under the name Clostridium sp. CAG:273. RNAcentral's name for it is "transfer RNA-Met(CAT)". It matches the Rfam family "tRNA". From Rfam's summary of the family: Transfer RNA (tRNA) molecules are approximately 80 nucleotides in length. Their secondary structure includes four short double-helical elements and three loops (D, anti-codon, and T loops). RNAcentral also lists the same sequence under 1 other name. The record is from RNAcentral. Lineage: Bacteria; Bacillati; Bacillota; Clostridia; Eubacteriales; Clostridiaceae.
GGCGACGUAGCUCAGUUGGCUAGAGCAUUCGGUUCAUACCCGAAGGGUCAUGUGUUCGAAUCACAUCGUCGCUACCA